UUCCGUAGGAGAACCUGCGGAAGGAUCAUUG
This 31-nucleotide ribosomal RNA is filed under the name Citrus x limon. RNAcentral describes it as "Citrus limon partial 18S ribosomal RNA". Lineage: Eukaryota; Viridiplantae; Streptophyta; Magnoliopsida; Sapindales; Rutaceae. The record is from RNAcentral.